Molecule: ribosomal RNA, 293 nt
Filed under: uncultured bacterium
Lineage: Bacteria
Description: partial 16S ribosomal RNA
Rfam family: Bacterial small subunit ribosomal RNA
Source: RNAcentral
UCCUACGGGGGGCAGCAGUGGGGAAUAUUGGUCAAUGGGCGCGAGCCUGAACCAGCCAAGUCGCGUGAGGGAGGACGGCCCUACGGGUUGUAAACCUCUUUUGCCGGGGAGCAACGGGCGUCACGUGUGGCGCCACUGAGAGUACCCGGAGAAAAAGCAUCGGCUAACUCCGUGCCAGCAGCCGCGGUAAUACGUAGGGGGCAAGCGUUAUCCGGAUUUACUGGGUGUAAAGGGAGCGUAGGCGGUUUAGCAAGUCAGAAGGAAAAGCCCGGGGCUCAACUCCGGGACUGCUU